RNAcentral lists this ribosomal RNA (535 nucleotides) under Rhodotorula sp. 2 PN-2013. RNAcentral's name for it is "eukaryotic LSU rRNA". It matches the Rfam family "Eukaryotic large subunit ribosomal RNA", at positions 61 to 601 of the family's 3401-position model. Lineage: Eukaryota; Fungi; Basidiomycota; Microbotryomycetes; Sporidiobolales; Sporidiobolaceae. The record is from RNAcentral.
GAAACUAACAAGGAUUCCCCUAGUAGCGGCGAGCGAAGCGGGAAGAGCUCAAAUUUAUAAUCUGGCACCUUCGGUGUCCGAGUUGUAAUCUCUAGAAGUGUUUUCCGCGUUGGACCGCACACAAGUCUGUUGGAAUACAGCGGCAUAGUGGUGAAACCCCCGUAUAUGGUGCGGACGCCCAGCGCUUUGUGAUACACUUUCAAUGAGUCGAGUUGUUUGGGAAUGCAGCUCAAAUUGGGUGGUAAAUUCCAUCUAAAGCUAAAUAUUGGCGAGAGACCGAUAGCGAACAAGUACCGUGAGGGAAAGAUGAAAAGCACUUUGGAAAGAGAGUUAACAGUACGUGAAAUUGUUGGAAGGGAAACGCUUGAAGUCAGACUUGCUUGCCGGAGCUUGCUUCGGUUUGCAGGCCAGCAUCAGUUUUCCGGGGUGGAUAAUGACGGUUUGAAGGUAGCAGUCUCGGCUGUGUUAUAGCUUUCCGUUGGAUACAUCCUGGGGGACUGAGGAACGCAGCGUGCUUUUUGCGAAAGACUCGUCU